GACAGGUUUGUAAGUGCAAACUCGCACAUACGAUUUGUUUCACAUUCGUUCCUCAUAAUAUGUUUAUUAAAUGUGUUUGCGUACAUUUUAGAAUUUGGGACGGAGUAUUGAAGGAGAUCUCAGCUGUUGCCUGACAGUCCGAGCGUCGUGUUUCAGUUCGAAAACAAGGUUGCUACUCGGAUAAAAACAUCGUAACUAUAUAAUUGUAAUUAACUCAAAGGCACAUACUAUUUUACCGAUUUGCGCUUUGUCGUGUGUGUAUCUACGCAGACACAUGUCUGUUUGGCAUUAGAGUAGAGGGCUUGUUUUGUGUAAGAUAUAAAUAUACAACUCGUGGGAGAUAUUUGUGCGACUAUGACCGGGUUAAGUCGGCAAAUAUCAAAAAUAAGUGGCGGCUAGCUUUCAUGCAGUUGCAUCCAUUCAUAUUAACACGUCUCUAGUGACUUUUGUUUAAGUUACGAUAUAAUUGAGCGCAAAAGACAUUAAGGUCUGUCUAAUGAAGAGAUUUAAACAAGAAAUAUUAUAGAAGUCGGUCUUGUAAUUAUUGAAUACGAUUUCUAAGGAAUUCAGAAUUUAUUUUUGAGAAGUUAUUAAUUUAGAAUUACGGCAGUGUUCUUAUAACGAGCUUAAAAAACUUCGAUAACUGAUUAGGAACGAAACCGCAAGUAUUUGUUAUAUUUGUUUGUGGCCUAGCUUCGAAAAAUAAUGUUGUUUUCGGCUGCUGUUUGUGUAAAUUAUCUUGGUAUGUUCACGCCCUGUAACGUCUUUAAGAGUUCCGUUUCACUCACAUCCUAAGAGGGUCCAAUUUAUGAUGUCAUUGGUUAGUGAUAAAGAUAUUCAAACAUAUAUUCCCGAUUUUCGUUUUACUUAAAACAAAAGUGUAUGAAACUUUCUUUCCUUCCUUUAUGACUUUUAUAGCUCACUCGCAGUUGUGAUAUAUAUUCGCGAUUUGUAAAUUUAGUGCUAGCAACGGCCUCUCUUAUAUAGAAAGAUAGGUGUUUUAGUUUUAUUGUCGAAUAAAACAAACCGUGGUGACAAUAUUUUACUAUAAUCUAUGGUAUACUGUCAUGUUGUUAUCCACUAUAAUAUAAAAUUAAUGUAAGUCAGUAUCUGUACAUAAAUUGACAAAAGCAAAACGGUUAUAGUUUCCUUCCCUUUUUAUCAACCGAUUUUUUUUUCGAGAGUGUCAGAGGUUUCUAUUUUUAAAAAGAGUCAAUAUAUUAUAUACUUUUUUUCAAAUUGUUAUUGUCAAAACAAUAGAAUGUAAAUACAUAAAGUGAAUAGAACCGAAUUCGACUUUCGUUCAUUGAUCGAGCACUGUUACUUAUGAUUUCACGAAAAUGGAUUAGUGUUGUGUGACGUCCCUAUACUUAGUUAUUACAUAUAUAAAUAAAUUAUAGCAUUAGUAAGCUCAUCGAAAUUUACAAAAUGUCCGGAAUUUUUACAUCUUAACAUAAGAAAUCAAUUAGUUAAAUGUUGCUGUAAAUUAAUUGCUUCACUUUUAGAAACAAGUUCACACACAAUUUGUGGGCACAUGUUAUACUUUAGUCAUGAAUGGACUCUUACCUCCACGAUUGAGAUAACUGUAGAUUGCAUAACCAUUUUAAUCAUAAGCAAAUACUAGAUACUAGUUACUACACCAUACUUUUGAAUUUGGAUAUUUUGUCACAAAAAUAUACCUAGUUCUAUUUU
Long non-coding RNA from Bombyx mori (domestic silkworm), 1692 nucleotides. RefSeq lists it as uncharacterized. The record is from RefSeq and is a predicted model, not a curated record. NCBI's taxonomy places the organism in Eukaryota, Metazoa, Arthropoda, Insecta, Lepidoptera, Bombycidae. The transcript has 2 exons.